GACGAACGCUGGCGGCGUGCUUAACACAUGCAAGUCGAACGGAAAGGCCCUGCUUUUGUGGGGUGCUCGAGUGGCGAACGGGUGAGUAACACGUGAGUAACCUGCCCUUGACUUUGGGAUAACUUCAGGAAACUGGGGCUAAUACCGGAUAGGAGCUCCUGCUGCAUGGUGGGGGUUGGAAAGUUUCGGCGGUUGGGGAUGGACUCGCGGCUUAUCAGCUUGUUGGUGGGGUAGUGGCUUACCAAGGCUUUGACGGGUAGCCGGCCUGAGAGGGUGACCGGCCACAUUGGGACUGAGAUACGGCGCAGACGCCUACGGGAGGCAGCAGUCGGGAAUAUUGCACAAUGGGGGGAAGCCUGAGGCAGCAACGCCGCGUGCGGGAUGACGGCCUUCGGGUUGUAAACCGCUUUCGCCUGUGACGAAGCGUGAGUGACGGUAAUGGGUAAAGAAGCACCGGCUAACUACGUG
Molecule: ribosomal RNA, 468 nt
Filed under: uncultured bacterium
Lineage: Bacteria
Description: partial 16S ribosomal RNA
Rfam family: Bacterial small subunit ribosomal RNA
Source: RNAcentral